This 219-nucleotide long non-coding RNA is filed under the name Gossypium barbadense (sea-island cotton). RNAcentral describes it as "long non-coding RNA (GBAR_LNC012846)". The record is from RNAcentral. Lineage: Eukaryota; Viridiplantae; Streptophyta; Magnoliopsida; Malvales; Malvaceae.
AAAGAAAGCCCAUGAAAAUUAGAUUUAGACUUCCAGUAUUCAAUUGACAAUCAUCAUAUUUAUAUCUAAUAAAAAUAAAAUAAAAUUAAGCAUUAAACAUUUGGUCCACCUUAAGGACCAUUAAAUUACACAUUCACCAUCAUUCAAUUAUUAUUAUUGAUAACAACUGACUACUAAACCUAACUACAAUUUAGCUAAAACUUUAUGUUUCCAAAAUAC